RNAcentral lists this transfer RNA (63 nucleotides) under Fukomys damarensis (Damara mole-rat). It matches the Rfam family "tRNA". Rfam says of the family: Transfer RNA (tRNA) molecules are approximately 80 nucleotides in length. Their secondary structure includes four short double-helical elements and three loops (D, anti-codon, and T loops). The record is from Rfam by way of RNAcentral. Lineage: Eukaryota; Metazoa; Chordata; Mammalia; Rodentia; Bathyergidae.
GGGGAUUUAGCUAAGUGGCACAGUGCCUGCCUGACAAGCAUGAGGUGGAGAGUUCUAUUCCCA